GAUGAACGCUGGCGGCGUGCCUAAUACAUGCAAGUCGAGCGAACAGACGAGGAGCUUGCUCCUUUGACGUUAGCGGCGGACGGGUGAGUAACACGUGGAUAACCUACCUAUAAGACUGGGAUAACUUCGGGAAACCGGAGCUAAUACCGGAUAACAUAUUGAACCGCAUGGUUCAACAGUGAAAGACGGUCUUGCUGUCACUUAUAGAUGGAUCCGCGCCGCAUUAGCUAGUUGGUAAGGUAACGGCUUACCAAGGCAACGAUGCGUAGCCGACCUGAGAGGGUGAUCGGCCACACUGGAACUGAGACACGGUCCAGACUCCUACGGGAGGCAGCAGUAGGGAAUCUUCCGCAAUGGGCGAAAGCCUGACGGAGCAACGCCGCGUGAGUGAAGAAGGUCUUCGGAUCGUAAAACUCUGUUAUUAGGGAAGAACAAAUGUGUAAGUAACUAUGCACGUCUUGACGGUACCUAAUCAGAAAGCCACGGCUAACUACGUG
Molecule: ribosomal RNA, 497 nt
Filed under: uncultured bacterium
Lineage: Bacteria
Description: partial 16S ribosomal RNA
Rfam family: Bacterial small subunit ribosomal RNA
Source: RNAcentral